AACUGCAAGAAUCAAUUUCUCCAAUUUCAUAAUGCAGAUACAGUGGUUCCUCACAAGACGAAAUUAAUCCGUUCCGCGAGUCUCUUCGUCUAGCGGUUUUUUCGUCUUGCGAAGCAACCCUAUUAGCGGCUUAGCGGAUUAGCGCUAUUAGCGGUUUAGCGGCUAUUAAAGGCUUAGCGGCUUAGCGGCUAAAAGGCUAUUAGCAGCUUAGCGGCUUAGAAAAGGGGGGGGAAGCGAAAAAAAUCUCAAGACUCGCAAGACGUUUUCGUCUUGCGAAGCAAGCCCAUAGGGAAAUUCGUCCUGCGAAGCACAUCGAAAAACGGAAAACCCUUUCGUCUAGCGGGUUUUUCGUCUUGCGAGGCAUUCGUCUUGCGGGGCACCACUGUAUGUGCAAGGAUACGCAGCAACGCAGAGAAAAGUUGGUGCGUUCUGAUGUGUGUGUUCUAGUGUGUGCACUGCAUGGCACACACAACUUUGCCAACCAGCACGUCACCACUCUUCACCUGCCCUCAUCAUUGGCCACCUGGGUCAGCUGCCUCAGUCUGCCUAGUGGCAGGGCUGGCUAUGACUCUUUCGCAUCAUGAAAGCUUCACUCUCUGGUUCGCUGGAGGUAAAUUACUUGCCACAGGCCAUUCUGAAGAGUGGUUGCUAGGACUGCAUUUUACAAUACUGUUUAGGUGGAACUGAAGACUCCCUUCAAACAAAUAAGUUAUCAUUAUGAUCACGUAUAAAAUGCCUAAGAUGAUGGUUGGCAUAAGAAUAGCUAUGGUAUUUGGGUGGAAAGGCACAUUUCACAGAUGUUUUUAAAAUUCUCGGUGAGUAUACAAAUGGAAGCCUUCUUACUUACGGUUCAAUAUUCCCUUCCUCAAGAUCCACAGAUCUUGUACUGUGCAUUUUAUCCGUAUCUAGCUAUCAAUGCAGUUGCUUUGUUUUCUAUUCUUCACUUGCUGCCCUUAGUUAUUUUGAAAUAGAUAUCCCAGGAAGUUAUACAGCAAAGAGAGAUGUAGUGGAGACCUUGAAAAUGUCAUAAGUGAUUUUGCAGAAUUUCUAAGCUGCUUUCCAGCCAAUGCAUUUUGUUGCUGUUGUUCCAUUUUCUUUCUGGAAAGCGUAGAAAUAGAAGCACGUUUGCUUGACCUCCCAAUUAUUUUGGAUGUCAGCUUGACUAGAAUUGAUAGCUAAUCCCUAAUAGUUUGCUUUGCAAACUUCCUCCGUCGAAAAGGAAUGCUUUGAAAGAGUUGAACAUUUUGCGCAGUGUAAUCUAUUGGGGGAAAGAGGAAGUCAAACGAAUUUAAACCACAUCUCAAUGAUAAAGGGAUGCCUGGUGAAUUUAGCUUAGCAGCACAGCAUAUUCCAAAUAACAACAUGUAUUUCUCAAAAGGAGGAAAUUUAAUUCCCCACACUGCACUUAAUACUAUUCUGGCUCCUCUCGAAUUCUGUCACCCAGACCAGAAGUAGCCAGCAUAGUGCUCUUCAGAAAUUGUUGGAUUUGCAACACCUGCACAAUGUGACCUUCCGAGCUGAACACUAUUUCCAUAUAUUGAUACACCUGCACCUAUCCACCCACUGUUGAUAGUUUACAAGGCCCUCUGUAAUAAUCCUGGUUUUGAUGGGGGGGGGACCAGGAAGUGGUGUGAGGGUCAAGCAGUUAGCAGACCACAAUGCAUGGUGGUGACAGGCACUUGGCGUUUUGGUGUGAGGGGUCACAAACUGCAAAUUUCUAACAGGAGGGUCUGGUCCACAGCUGCAUGUUGAAUAUUUUCAUCUGUGGACCAGCCCCUAAAUGAGGACUUUCCAACUUGCGACCCACCAAGCCAAAAUGCCAAAUGCCUGACACCACUUUACAUUGUGGCUUGCCGGUUGCUUGACAAGUCCAAGAAAUAUUAAUUUAGUUCUAUUUCUCCUUAAAUACACAUUUUUCAUAUGCAUUUUAGUCGAAUAUAUGCAUUUUUUUUUUGCAAGGAAUUUCCUUUAAUGCAAUGAUUCAUUUUACACAAUUUUAACUGAUUUUUGUGCACACCUUUCCCUGGUAUAUUAAUUUUUGCGACAACCACCUCCUUAUCUACUCAAUUAACAUUCAUUUUUUUAAAAGAAUUGGAGAGCUGUGUUGCAAAAUUCAGAGAAGUGAGACGCAUGAAGGCUAGCUGCAUUUUGUUUUCAGACUUGUCAAUUAGGUAGUUUUGCAUUGAGAUGCAAACUUGAUGAAUUCCCCACCCGUAGUAUCACGAAAGAAAUAAACCAACAAACCUAGGAGUGGGCAUUUUAGAAUUUAGGGAAAGCGAAACUAGCAUUUUACACCAGAAGCAGAAAUUGCUGAGCCUAGCCCCCUCCCAAAGUGGAAAUUGCACUGAUCGCUGCAUAGUUUUUUUUUGUGGGGGGAUGUGCCUUUAUCUAAGUGAUGAGCCAAAGCUCAGUCUUCGCAGAGUCAAUAUGAGGUUGGAAGAAAGGCACAUUGCCAGGCACCAGAGGAGGAAAAAGCACAGCUACAGUAGACAUCCAUUUUGUUGUAGGAGGCAUAAUAGACCUUUUCAGGUUUUAUUGUUAUUUUUGGAUAAAGCGGAGCGUGGGGGCUUGGGGAGUGCAAGGAUGUGGUGGUGAAACUUCAAACAGGAAGCAAACUAUGUACUGAAAAAGUCACAUUUUAAUUGUAUAAAUAUGAAAUAACAUGAGCAUAACAAAGGAACGGCGUCUGCAUCCAAGAGAAAUAAAAGAGCAGGCUUCGGCCAUGGAAAAACCCAGGAUUGCUGACAUAAGACCUGAUUCAGCUGAGCCCUUAGAAAUUUAGAGCUUUUGAGGGCUUGUUUACAUCACGGAGACCCUUAGCUUGUAUUCUCCUCUCUCAACCCAAGCAAGGAAUCCCAAUGUGAUCCAGCCACAUAUCCUUCUUGGAGUCACUCCCAGGUCACCUGUUUCUCUAGGAAACCACAAACUCUGUCCCAGAGAUAACAGCCCCUCUAUCACACUAUCCCCUAAUGGGGAGCAAACCAAAAACGAGACUCAAGAACACCCAGUAGGAAAUUGCUGUUGACAUGUACAUACCAGUGUUCGAAACUCCCAUUGUUCCAGGAGCAUUUUGCGACAGGGAAUUUCAUUAGUGCAAGCUGUUUCUGAGCUCUGGGUGCAGUACUGCGCCUAAGAUUUCAGAUUAAAACUGAAGAGUGGAAGGAAAGGAGGACCUUUUUCUGCCUCCCCACUUCCAGCUACUCUCUGAAGGCUGGAGAAGAGACCCUCUUAAGAACAUUAGAGGAUGGGUGGGCAGGGGAAGGACUAGACCAUGUGAAAAAUGAACAUAAGAUUUUAGCUGCAGUUCAUUCAUUUUCAGCUUUGUUUUCUUGUUAUAAAAAAGUCCGCCUAGAUAUUCCAUUAUUGCGCCCAUAACCUAGGCUUAAGGUGACAUUUAGCUCCUAGCUUUCAUAUCUCAGUUUCUAACUCUGGUACAUCCAUACAUCCUUUUAUCUGCAGGCCACCUUUCCAUGGUUAAAACCAUGCUCAAGGCAGCUUGCAACAUGAAAAAACACACCAAACACAAGAGCCUUUUCACAGACACGCCCCAAUUUUUUUUGAGCAUCAGCAGAACUGUGAAACACAGCCCCCCCCCUUUAUGCAAACCAAGAAGUGAGAUUCGCAGGAAACGGAUAUUCAGCAAAGAACCAUUGUAGCUUCCUUCUAGGAUCCCUUGUGUACCAGCCUGGUUCCCCCUUUCUGUUUGGUGAGGCUGUCAGUACACCUUGGGGGACAUGAGUCAUCACUUUGGCACCACGUAGGAUUAACAGAGAGCCAGGACACCAUGUUGGGAGAGGUAAAACAUUAUUUUCUGGCUUGCAACCUCCCUACAUAGUGCCACCUACUUUUUGGAUGUACAGCUAACACAACAGGGCGCUGCUAGAGAUUUCUCAUGGAAAAGUAUGCAAAAAGGACUCCGGAAACCAAAUAGUCCUGAUUACACACCUAGUUGCAUUGAUUCAGUGCCCCUUAAGCCAGCCUUGUUUGGGUUCGUUCAUAGUUUAAUUUUGAUUUUUGCUUGUUCUCUAGCUCCAAGAAGCUCCAGCAUGCAAGUUAAAGUAUUGCUCUUCUUAGCAAAGUCAGAAAGAUGAACAAAAGUAAAUCUACACUGGAACACGUUCAAGGGGAAGGGUGCUCUUAAGAGCUGCAAUUUUCUGUAGAAGGAUCCCCCCCCCUUUUUUGCAAUAUAUUGCAACGUAUCAUUACUCUGGUUUUAUCCUCUUCCAUUUGGCAAAGGCUCACCCCUUUCCCCUUCUCCGUUCCUCAUAGAGCAAAAGAAGAAGAAGCCAAAUGUGGCUCCCUUUCAAAUAGUUUCAAACCGUGCCAGCAGCAAUAAUAAAUAACUGAGGAGUCUCACAAUUGGUUUAGCUUACCCAAAACUUUGAAAGGAUUCUUUUAAAAAGAAAAACACACACUAAACAGUCCCAAACCCUCAAGGAUGGCACCAGGAAAUAUGCAUUUUUCGGGGUCUCCUUUUGUAGUAAAAUAAAUAGAAUGACAGGAGAGGUAGGUAGCCACAUAGAAAGAUACUGGUAAGCAUUUCAGAGAAACUUGGUUUUUUAGGGCAGCUGGAAAUAAAGGAGUCAGAUAAAUGAGAGAUAUUAUUGAUGUCGCGACUAUGCAUAGUGCUUUACAACGUAAUAGCAUGGCAGAAUUAUAGUCAGUGGUGACUGGGACUGGCAGAGCAGCAGUCAGGAAGACCAAUGGUAUAUAAUUGUUUCAUUUUGUAUUUUUAUGCCCCGUGAACUCUGGAUGAAGGUUGGUAUACAAAUAUAAAUAUAAAUGAAUAAAA
Non-coding RNA from Podarcis lilfordi (Lilford's wall lizard), 4792 nucleotides. NCBI's taxonomy places the organism in Eukaryota, Metazoa, Chordata, Lepidosauria, Squamata, Lacertidae. The record is from the annotation of a GenBank genome assembly.